CUAAGAAUCUUCCACAAUGGACGAAAGUCUGAUGGAGCGACGCCGCGUGGGUGAAGAAGGCGGUAACGUUGUAAAGCCCUUUUAUGGUCGAGGCGGUAGCUUAUGAAUAAGCCCCGGCUAAUUACGUGCCAGCAGCCGCGGUAACACGUAUGGGGCGAGCGUUGUUCGGAAUUAUUGGGCGUAAAGGGUGCGCAGGCGGUUAUCAAGUCUGGUGUUAAAUCCCGCAGCUUAACUGCGGAGCGGCAUUGGAAACUGUAUGACUAGAGUUCGUGAGGGGUAGCUGGAAUUCCAGGUGUAGGGGUGAAAUCUGUAGAUAUCUGGAAGAACAUCAAUGGCGAAGGCAAGCUACUGGCACUGAACUGACGCUGAGGCACGAAAGCGUGGGGAGCAAACAGGAUUAGAUACCCCUGUAGU
RNAcentral lists this ribosomal RNA (414 nucleotides) under uncultured bacterium. RNAcentral describes it as "bacterial SSU rRNA". It matches the Rfam family "Bacterial small subunit ribosomal RNA", at positions 355 to 794 of the family's 1533-position model. The record is from RNAcentral.